GAAUAGACAAUAUCGUUACGAUAUUUUUAUAUUUUAAAAUGUAUACAUACAAUCGAUAUACAAUAUACAAAGUGUUCAAUAAGUUUGGUUUGGAAACGACGGUUUUUUAGACCGCUAUUGAUUUUUUUAAUAAUUUUUUUUUUUUAGAUGCUAAUUGAAUAAUUAAAUGCAUUUUGACUGAUUACCACUAAAGUUCAACCCUAAUGCAAAAGAGUAGUAAUCAAGGUAUAUUUCUACUUAAGAAGACAGAAUUGGCCAAGUCGUUUUUGUUGUUUAAAAGCAUCGAUUUUGAGUUUGCGAGCACAUUUUGCCACAGUAAAAACUAAUCAAUGUGCAAUUCCGUAGACAAGAUAAUCAUAAAUUGCCUGAUUAUUGUUGCUUGGUUUAUCUUAGCGAUCGUAUUUGACCGUGAAACGAUCAAUAGAUAUUGUCGAAUCGAUACUGUACCUCAUCAACGGGGAUUUAUUGAAUAUCGAUAAAAAUAUGAUUUACGAUUGCAUUUCUUUCGCGUUUACGAAUGAAAUUAGAUCGUUGUUGUGAAACGUGUGCGUUAUUAUCAAAUUAAACAUGUCAGUCGAAAAUUGACUAAAAUAUUUUAUUUGAUAAUUAUUAUAACCGUUCGUUUGCUGUUAUCGGUCAAAAUGAUUUUAACGCGUGUUUAUCGUUUAAAAUUUAAAUGUUUUAUGAUAUAUUCAAAUUGACUUUUCAAUUUUUCUAACUCUUUACAAUUUUCGUAAAAAUCACAAUCGAUUCGAGAUCGAUUAUUACAACAGUCGUAAUAAUAUCUCAAAUCGAUCGACAAUAGUACAACAGUUACUAUUGUGGUUUUGUGCGCGAGUUCCAUUCUCGUGCUGUGCAUUUGUUUACAUUUGUUGCUGUGGCGGCGGCGGCGGCGCUCCGAAAAGCGGAAUGCAAAUAAACCGCCGAACAAACACAAUUGGAACGUCUCGAAAACACGGCGAUAUAUACGGACCCAUUGGGCGCAUCUGCCCAGUUUCGUCGGCGACGAGGGAAGAGAGCCAAUAUUCGAGACUAGCUAUCAGCCGCUUCAUCGGAUAAAAAAUGUCAAGGCUGGCAUCGACGAUUCUACUGGCUUUUUUUGUCGCCUGUUAUACUGCGAAAGGAGACGUCCAGUGUCCCGUUUGUACGAAUGAAGUCCCGCAAUGUUGCACGAUACACAAUUGCGGGCACAAAUUUUGCAUCGUGUGCACGACUAAAAUUUUGAGUGUGAAUUAUCCUACGUGUCCGUUGUGCAGGAGUUCUAUUAAAAGAGCGACGGGUACAGGUGCGUACGAACAGGAGCUCAGCGAUUUCAAGAGAGCCGUCCUCAACAACCAGACUACCCCCCAGAUGAUAAUCGCGCGCUUCUAUCUGCUGCCGCCGUGGCAGGUGCCCGACUCGACGAUGCUGCUCGAAGUCAAAGCGCGCUCGUACAACAAAGUGGUCCGGUGCUUGUUGAUUCAGAGGAUACGCAAUAACUUGGACGGUUAUUCCUUGGUGGAGGACGUGGCGGAACGCAGCAAGUUGUUUAGCGCAAGGCCCAACAAAGUGGAAUCCGACAUACUGUCGGCGUACUACGAGAGGUGCAAUUGCUUGGUGCACGUGGAGAUGAUGAGAAGAAACAACGCGUACGGAACGCUCUUGCAGUGACUCUCGGCGGCGCUAUUGUAUUUUCAAAAAGAUAAUUUAUCUCGAUAAAAUAAUAAAAACGUAUCUUUCCGUUGCGUA
This is a long non-coding RNA of Daktulosphaira vitifoliae (grape phylloxera), 1728 nucleotides long. RefSeq lists it as uncharacterized. The record is from RefSeq and is a predicted model, not a curated record. The transcript has 5 exons. NCBI's taxonomy places the organism in Eukaryota, Metazoa, Arthropoda, Insecta, Hemiptera, Phylloxeridae.